GCCCUAGGUCUGUACCCUAACGUAACGUAACAUCUUACGAAUUCUGUUCUCAAAUAUUUAUGCUAUCUUGCAUAUUCCCCCUGAUAACAGCCAAGUACUGAAAUCUAAAUACUAGUCACACUCAGUUUACCAAUUAUAUACAUGACAUGUUUGAUCAUUUUUACCAAAGCCAUUACAGUGGACGUGCUGCAUUUUGGGUAACUUGUAACUGAAUGAACUUUAAACAAUGAGAAUUUACUAUUGUGCACAUUGGUCAUACAAACCCAAUACGAAGUGUUCCGUGAAUACCAAGAAUCACUUCUGUGACACAUUUAGCAAAGCAUUUUUCCCUCACUGUGUUAGGUUAAUCAAUGCAAGCCAGAUAACACAAUUCAUUCCCUCAUUAUAUAUUCUACUUCUAUGAGGCAAAGACCAGCACACAUGUUUGUCUCUGCGACUAAUGAGAAUGUCAUUCAUAUUCUUCAUGAUAUGACAGAUCCACAUCAUUUAUUCUUUCAAGUGACUCCAAAAUGGUACAAGACUUCCACCAUUCAGUUCCAGUUAGGCAAAACAUAACAGGAAAAAAGUAUAUGUUAACACACCCAUUUAGUUUGUAGUUAAACGCUUUAUGUUGUCACUCUUGAUAAAGACAUGAUAAAAAAAAAAUCACACUGCAUUAAAACACUUAAAGAUGCUUUUUGGGACCUUUGUUAAACUAUUUUUAAAAACCUUCCAUUUUGGGCUGAAUGUGAAAUGUCUUCAUUUUAUGUGCAUGAUCUAUGCAUAAAAUGCAUAGUGAUGGGAAUUCACUCUUUUCAAUGAGCCUACUCUCGUUCAUCAUAAAAAUGCUUAAAAAUAACUGUAAUCAACUUUAACAAAACAUACACAGUUGAGACAAAUCACCCAGCCAAUGAUCACUAACAUUCAGCCUAAUCAUUUUGUAAGUCUCUGGAAGGGUGCUAUUGGUUUUCUCUCAGGAAGUACUACAUUUAAUGCAAUAUUGGAUCAUUUGAGUUUUGUUACUUUUUUCUCAGUCAGUUUGGACACAUAUCCAAGCACCCCUGAACAUUUUUUUCCCCCUGCUUUCAAAAUGUUUUACAAAAUACAGAAUUGUUGAAUCAAUAGAAAGUGUGAGAAUACAUUUGAGUCAGAAUGUAUGUAUAUCCAUGGGUGAUCAAUGUAUUUUCUAAGUUUCUCUCUUAGCAUUCCACAUGUCUGCUAUGAUACCAAGUUCAAGAUGUUCAUUCAAAAUUAUUUUUAUAAUUGGGUAUUAUGUCUACACAUCAGUAAAUAUGUAUUCUCAAGCUUUGGUUUAUUAACAUGAUGUACAAUAGCCUACUGUACAAAUGAAUGACUCGAGCCUGCCCCCUCUGGGCCAAAGUUAGCUAUAACACCAAGCCUGUACAACAAGGUGCUAUGUAGCGGAAUGCAUUAGGCCAACAUAUUCCCUGAUGAAAGUGCUAUAAAAUAACUGAGAUCAAGUGCUUGUUAGACAAAAAAAAAGCUUGAACAUUGGAGCCAGCUGAUUAACUAAAACUAUCUGCUUGCCCUUGGAAAAACAAUGAAAACCUACCCACUCACUGUUGAGCGUCCACUAAAUGAGUGAAAUUUAAAUGUCAGCAUCAGUUUACCCAUGACACAUGGUGGCUUUACUCUUGUCAUACUUGGCCAUUACAUAUUGCAGCACAGUGAUGCAUUUUGGGUAAUUUUAAGUAAUGGAUCCACAAAAUAGUUAUUCAUCAUGGAGGGUAAUCUGUAGAUCAAUCUGUAAUACAACACCAAUUUGAAGUGCUCCAUGAAAACCAAUAAUCACAUUUGUGAAUUUCAAGAAACAUACAUUUUUUUCCCUUUAUUACAUUCAUCAAUAUUUUACAAGCAAAAAAAACAUAAUAAAGGCCCAAAAUUAAAUAUCACAUUAUACGAGGCAAAGACUAGGUACAUGAUUCCCACAGGACCCCAGAGACAUCAACAGCAGUCCUAGGAAAAC
This is a long non-coding RNA of Esox lucius (northern pike), 1966 nucleotides long. NCBI's taxonomy places the organism in Eukaryota, Metazoa, Chordata, Actinopteri, Esociformes, Esocidae. The record is from Ensembl.